Molecule: ribosomal RNA, 663 nt
Filed under: uncultured cyanobacterium
Lineage: Bacteria; Bacillati; Cyanobacteriota
Description: bacterial SSU rRNA
Rfam family: Bacterial small subunit ribosomal RNA
Source: RNAcentral
ACGGGACUCUUCGGAGUUCAGUGGCGGACGGGUGAGUAACGCGUGAGAAUCUGCCUAGAGGAUGGGGACAACCACGGGAAACUGUGGCUAAUACCCAAUGAGCGGAGACGUUAAAGAUUUAUCGCCUCUAGAGGAGCUCGCGUCUGAUUAGCUAGUUGGUGGGGUAAAAGCCUACCAAGGCGACGAUCAGUAGCUGGUCUGAGAGGACAACCAGCCACACUGGGACUGAGACACGGCCCAGACUCCUACGGGAGGCAGCAGUGGGGAAUUUUCCGCAAUGGGCGAAAGCCUGACGGAGCAAUACCGCGUGAGGGAGGGAGGCUCUUGGGUCGUAAACCUCUUUUCUCAGGGAAGAAGAAAGUGACGGUACCUGAGGAAUCAGCCUCGGCUAACUCCGUGCCAGCAGCCGCGGUAAUACGGAGGAGGCAAGCGUUAUCCGGAAUUAUUGGGCGUAAAGCGUCCGUAGGUGGCUCUUCAAGUCUGCUGUCAAAGAGUGGGGCUUAACUCCAGAAAGGCAGUGGAAACUGAAAGGCUAGAGAGCCGUAGGGGUAGAGGGAAUUCCCGGUGUAGCGGUGAAAUGCGUAGAGAUCGGGAAGAACAUCGGUGGCGAAAGCGCUCUACUGGACGGUAUCUGACACUGAGGGACGAAAGCUAGGGGAGCGA